Molecule: transfer RNA, 73 nt
Filed under: compost metagenome
Description: tRNA-Trp
Rfam family: tRNA
About the family: Transfer RNA (tRNA) molecules are approximately 80 nucleotides in length.
Source: RNAcentral
AGGUCAUUAGUGUCAGCGGCAGCACACGGGAUUCCAAAUCCUAUAGGUGGGGUUCGAAUCCUCAAUGACCUGC